ACGUUUAGUUGCUAACGCGUGAAGGCGAGCACUCUAGACGAACUGCCGUUGACAAAACGGAGGAAGGUGGGGAUGACGUCAAAUCAUCAUGCCCCUUAUGUUCUGGGCUACACACGUGCUACAAUGGCCGGUACAGACGGACGCAAAGCCGCGAGGCGGAGCAAAUCCGAAAAAGCCGGUCUCAGUUCGGAUUGCAGGCUGCAAUUCGCCUGCAUGAAGUCGGAAUCGCUAGUAAUCGCAGGUCAGCAUACUGCGGUGAAUACGUUCCCGGGCCUU
RNAcentral lists this ribosomal RNA (276 nucleotides) under uncultured Pelotomaculum sp. RNAcentral's name for it is "partial 16S ribosomal RNA". It matches the Rfam family "Bacterial small subunit ribosomal RNA", at positions 1107 to 1382 of the family's 1533-position model. Lineage: Bacteria; Bacillati; Bacillota; Clostridia; Eubacteriales; Desulfotomaculaceae. The record is from RNAcentral.